GACGAACGCUGGCGGCGUGCUUAACACAUGCAAGUCGAACGGAAAGGCCCCUUUAGCGUUCCUCGAGUGGCGACCGGGUGCGUAACACUUGGGUAACCUUCCCUUUCCUUUUUGUCAUCUUCAGGAAAGUGGGGCUAAUACCGGUUAUGCAUCCUUCCUCCAUGGUGGGGGUUCGAAAGCUCUUGCGGCCUUGGAUGGAUUGGCGGCCUAUCAGCUUGUUGGUGGGAUAGUGGCUUACCAAGGCACUGACGCGUAGCCGGACAGAGAGGGCGACCGGCGACAUUGAGACUGAGGUGCGGCACAGGCUGCGAAGGGAGGCAGAAGGGGGGAAGAUUGAACAAGGGGCGGAGGCCUGAUGCAGAAAGGCCGCGGGCGGGAUGACGGCCUUCGGGUUGAAAACAGCUUGCAGCAGGGGCGAAGCUUGUGGUGACGGUACCUGCAGAAGAAGCACCGGCUAACUACGUG
This 465-nucleotide ribosomal RNA is filed under the name uncultured bacterium. RNAcentral's name for it is "partial 16S ribosomal RNA". It matches the Rfam family "Bacterial small subunit ribosomal RNA", at positions 28 to 507 of the family's 1533-position model. The record is from RNAcentral.